AGUAUAUCGGACUUGGGAGGACCUGUAGACUGUUUCACGAGUCCAAGAGGCAUAAAGUGAAGUGUGGUGACUAAAAAUGCUUUGACGAACAACGAGUUGGAAAGAGGGUCCAUCCACUAGGUCUGUUACGUGCAUGAAACAUCACAUUCUGGUCAGCCCAACAACGCUGGAAAUGAGUACAUCAACUUGCCCGAGAAAAACAAAAAGGUUUUGUCUGAUAGUUUGUCACCUCUUCACCUCCUGCCAAACAUCCAAGCAUGCUGCUCAUCCCCCAAUAAAGAAUUACAAGUCGUCUUUGAAGCCUGAAUAAGCAGUUGUGUGACUGCUAAAUAACCUACCAUGGAGCCAAAGAAAGUUGCAGUGUCAGCAAUUAGACAAAGAAGGUUUUGCUCGACCAAAAGGAGAAAACCUGCAUCUGAUGAUGAGGGUGAUGAGGAGGGUUAACCUCAGGAUUUUGGACAGGUGGACUUGGUGGUGAUCAUUGUCCUGGUGCAGAACCCAAGUUUGUUUCAGCUUGAGGUCACAAACAGAUGGCUGGACAUUCUCCUUCAAGAUUUCUUGGUAGACAGCAGAAUUCAUGAUUCCAUUCAUCACAGUAAGUCUUCCAGGUCCUGAAGCAGGUAAAUAACUUCAGACAGUCGCACUACCACUACCAUAUUUUACUGUUAGUAUGAUGUUCUUUUUCUGAAGUGUCAGAUGUAAUGGAACACACCCCUUCAAAAAGUUGAACAUAUGUCCCAUCAGACCAAGGUCUUUGGGAUCAUUAAGAUCAGCAAAAUUGAGACUAGCCCUGAUGUUCUUUGUUUCGCAGUGGUUUUCGUCUUGAAACUCUACCAUACAGACCAUUUCUGUCCAGUGUCUUUUUAUGGUUGAGCCAUGAACACUGACCUUAGCUGAGGCAAGUGAGGUCUGCAAUUCUUUGAAAAAUGUUUUUUGUGGCCAUCCACUCCUGGGAAGGUUCAACACUAUUCCAUGUUUUUGUCAUUCGUGGAUAAUGGCUUUCACUGUGGUUCGCUGGAGUCCCACCUUUUCCAGAAUGAUAGAUCUCAAUUAAUCACAGUUAUGUUUUAACUGCAUUUAGUGUUCAGUUGUGUUGUCAUUGAUUAAUAUUGAAAUUGAUUUUAUUUUUUUUAACAUUUUAUUGUGACAAACAUGCCAAAAAAUAAGAAAUCAGAAAUGAGACUUUUUCACACCACUGUAUAUACUGGCAAAAAUAGCGAUGGUAACUAAUUUAUUUAAUUAAUUACGGAAAAAUCCUUACCGUAAUUAAUGCAUACUCAUUAUGGCAAGCCACGUCUCUCUCUUAUGAUGACAGACGAUGCUCCCCACAGACUCACACAGAUUCUGAUGCUCUUUUAUAACUUUAUUUUGACCUGAACACAUUAACAGCAGUCCAAUUCCAACACCAUAUAUGUAUCUCCAACUCCAAACAAACACGUCUCUUGUUCAUUCGUUAUUGCAAUGACACUUCCUCAUUAUCACUAGACAGACCGCAAGAUGCAUUCACAGCCACUCCAAACAUCACAGCAACAUCUUUAAUAAGCGUGUAUGUGUGGUCUAAAUGGAGAGAAAUGCCAAGAAAAUCAGUAAGUGAAUAUUCACAUCACUCACUUUGUAACUCUUAAUGUGGAAGUACAAUUUACUGCAUGCAAGUAUACCCGGAAACCCCAGAAUAUUCACUCAAAAUGUGAAUUAAACUUAAAUGAUAUGAUGUCUAUGAACACAACUCCUCACUGCUCAUAAUAACAGUUAAUGUCUGAUUCAAAUAUUUUGCUAUUAAAUAAACCAGUGUUAGGUAAGUCGAUUUUCAGAUGCGUGUGCCAUCUCUUAACUUGAUUAAAAUUUUCAGUUAAUUUGUCAUUGUUAAAACAUAAAUAUAUAUAUAAU
Non-coding RNA from Doryrhamphus excisus (bluestripe pipefish), 1887 nucleotides. The record is from RefSeq and is a predicted model, not a curated record. NCBI's taxonomy places the organism in Eukaryota, Metazoa, Chordata, Actinopteri, Syngnathiformes, Syngnathidae.